Molecule: microRNA precursor, 58 nt
Filed under: Mus musculus (house mouse)
Lineage: Eukaryota; Metazoa; Chordata; Mammalia; Rodentia; Muridae
Source: RNAcentral
GUGGAUAUUCCUUCUAUGUUUAUGCUUUUUGUGAUUAAACAUAGAGGAAAUUUCACGU